This 497-nucleotide ribosomal RNA is filed under the name uncultured bacterium. RNAcentral describes it as "partial 16S ribosomal RNA". It matches the Rfam family "Bacterial small subunit ribosomal RNA", at positions 28 to 507 of the family's 1533-position model. The record is from RNAcentral.
GAUGAACGCUGGCGGCGUGCCUAAUACAUGCAAGUCGAGCGAACGGACGAGAAGCUUGCUUCUCUGAUGUUAGCGGCGGACGGGUGAAUAACACGUGGAUAACCUCCCUAUAAGACUGGGAUAACUUGGAGAAACCGUAGCUAAUACCGGAUAAUAUUUUGAACCGCAUGGUUCAAAAGUGAAAGACGGUGUUGCUGUCACUUAUAGAUGUAUCCGCGCUGCAUGAGCUGGUUGGUAAGGUAACGGCUUACCAAGGCAACGAUGCAUAGCCGACCUGAGAGGGGGAUCGGCCACACGGGAACGGAGACACGGUCCAGACUCCUGCGGGAGGCAGCAGUAGGGAAUCGUACGCAAUGGGCGAAAGCCUGACGGAGCAAGGCCGCGUGAGUGAUGAAGGUCUUCGGAUCGUAAAACUCGGUUAUUAGGGAAGAACAUAUGUGUAAGGAACUGUGCACAUCGUGACGGUACCUAAUCAGAAAGCCACGGCUAACUACGUG